Gorilla gorilla gorilla (western lowland gorilla) is the source of this 189-nucleotide long non-coding RNA. RefSeq lists it as uncharacterized. The transcript has 3 exons. NCBI's taxonomy places the organism in Eukaryota, Metazoa, Chordata, Mammalia, Primates, Hominidae. The record is from RefSeq and is a predicted model, not a curated record.
GAUCUUUCUGCCGAGAUCUUUCAAAAAUGUUUCCAAGAAAUGGCUAGACAAUUACAAAAAACCCAGGUUUGGCUCCCCAUCGCUGGAAAGCUGAACACAAGAGGUGUUUGAGUGACAUGAGUCUCUUAAUCAUUUAAAAAUUAAAGCAUCAUCAACCAGCACUGUAGAAUUAAGAAUAUAAGGCAUCCC